CUUGAGCGAGCCCAGCCACACCGGCUGGUCGGCGGGCCUGCCCUGCCCGUACGUGGCGAUCAGUGCCUGCGCUUC
RNAcentral lists this antisense RNA (75 nucleotides) under Actinophytocola oryzae. RNAcentral's name for it is "ASpks TB sRNA". It matches the Rfam family "ASpks TB sRNA". The record is from Rfam by way of RNAcentral. Lineage: Bacteria; Bacillati; Actinomycetota; Actinomycetes; Pseudonocardiales; Pseudonocardiaceae.